RNAcentral lists this ribosomal RNA (253 nucleotides) under uncultured bacterium. RNAcentral describes it as "partial 16S ribosomal RNA". It matches the Rfam family "Bacterial small subunit ribosomal RNA", at positions 524 to 776 of the family's 1533-position model. The record is from RNAcentral.
UACAGAGGGUGCGAGCGUUGUUCGGAAUUAUUGGGCGUAAAGGGCGCGUAGGCGGUGCCACAAGUCACUUGUGAAAUCUCCGGGCUUAACUCGGAGCCUGCAGGCGAAACUGUGGUGCUGGAGUGUGGGAGAGGUGCGUGGAAUUCCCGGUGUAGCGGUGAAAUGCGCAGAGAUCGGGAGGAACACCGGUGGCGAAGGCGGCUACCUGGACCGGUUCUGACGCUGAUGCGCGAAAGCGUGGGUAGCAAACAGG